RNAcentral lists this transfer RNA (91 nucleotides) under Paracoccaceae bacterium. Its description in RNAcentral is "Rhodobacteraceae bacterium (activated sludge metagenome) tRNA-Ser". It matches the Rfam family "tRNA". Rfam says of the family: Transfer RNA (tRNA) molecules are approximately 80 nucleotides in length. Their secondary structure includes four short double-helical elements and three loops (D, anti-codon, and T loops). Further hydrogen bonds mediate the characteristic L-shaped molecular structure. tRNAs have two regions of fundamental functional importance: the anti-codon, which is responsible for specific mRNA codon recognition, and the 3' end, to which the tRNAs corresponding amino acid is attached (by aminoacyl-tRNA synthetases). tRNAs cope with the degeneracy of the genetic code in two manners: having more than one tRNA (with a specific anti-codon) for a particular amino acid; and 'wobble' base-pairing, i.e. permitting non-standard base-pairing at the 3rd anti-codon position. The record is from RNAcentral. Lineage: Bacteria; Pseudomonadati; Pseudomonadota; Alphaproteobacteria; Rhodobacterales; Paracoccaceae.
GGAGAGGUGGCCGAGUGGUCGAAGGCGAUCCUCUGCUAAGGGAGUAGGCCACAAAAGGGCCUCGUGGGUUCGAAUCCCAUCCUCUCCGCCA